This 1132-nucleotide ribosomal RNA is filed under the name Tomato big bud phytoplasma. Its description in RNAcentral is "bacterial SSU rRNA". It matches the Rfam family "Bacterial small subunit ribosomal RNA", at positions 141 to 1269 of the family's 1533-position model. The record is from RNAcentral. Lineage: Bacteria; Bacillati; Mycoplasmatota; Mollicutes; Acholeplasmatales; Acholeplasmataceae.
GGAUAACAAUUGGAAACGGUUGCUAAGACUGGAUAGGAAACAAAAAGGCAUCUUUUUGUUUUUAAAAGACCUUCUUAUGAAGGUAUGCUUAAAGAGGGGCUUGCGCCACAUUAGUUAGUUGGUAGGGUAAAAGCCUACCAAGACGAUGAUGUGUAGCUGGACUGAGAGGUUGAACAGCCACAUUGGGACUGAGACACGGCCCAAACUCCUACGGGGGGCAGCAGUAGGGAAUUUUCGGCAAUGGAGGAAACUCUGACCGAGCAACGCCGCGUGAACGAUGAAGUAUUUCGGUAUGUAAAGUUCUUUUAUUGAAGAAGAAAAAGUAGUGGAAAAACUAUAUUGACGUUAUUCAAUGAAUAAGCCCCGGCUAACUAUGUGCCAGCAGCCGCGGUAAGACAUAGGGGGCGAGCGUUAUCCGGAAUUAUUGGGCGUAAAGGGUGCGUAGGCUGUUAGAUAAGUCUAUAAUUUAAUUUCAGUGCUUAACGCUGUCUUGUUAUAGAAACUGUCUUGACUAGAGUGAGAUAGAGGCAAGCGGAAUUCCAUGUGUAGCGGUAAAAUGUGUAAAUAUAUGGAGGAACACCAGAAGCGUAGGCGGCUUGCUGGGUCUUUACUGACGCUGAGGCACGAAAGCGUGGGUAGCAAACAGGAUUAGAUACCCUGGUAGUCCACGCCGUAAACGAUGAGUACUAAGUGUCGGGGUAAAACUCGGUACUGAAGUUAACACAUUAAGUACUCCGCCUGAGUAGUACGUACGCAAGUAUGAAACUUAAAGGAAUUGACGGGACUCCGCACAAGCGGUGGAUCAUGUUGUUUAAUUCGAAGAUACACGAAAAAUCUUACCAGGUCUUGACAUACUCUGCAAAGCUAUAGAAAUAUAGUGGAGGUUAUCAGGGAUACAGGUGGUGCAUGGUUGUCGUCAGUUCGUGUCGUGAGAUGUUAGGUUAAGUCCUAAAACGAGCGCAACCCUUGUCGUUAAUUGCCAGCACGUAAUGGUGGGGACUUUAGCGAGACUGCCAAUUAAACAUUGGAGGAAGGUGAGGAUUACGUCAAAUCAUCAUGCCCCUUAUGAUCUGGGCUACAAACGUGAUACAAUGGCUGUGACAAAGAGUAGCUGAAACGCGAGUUUUUAGCC